RNAcentral lists this small RNA (552 nucleotides) under human gut metagenome. The record is from RNAcentral.
AUCGAUGAAGUCCCUUGUGCCUGCUUCUCUCGCCCAGAUUGGGGUGGGUGCUGGGGGUUAAGGCUUUCGGGCGGCUUGCAAUGGCAUGCAAUCCCGACCCGAUUGCCGUGGAGACCCGAACUCGUGGGGAGCCUAUACAUUUUUGAAAUUGACGGACGACUUACGUUUCGGGGUAAAAACCUGCAAUGCGGUGGAAGGGCAUGACCCGACUUGCUGUGUGCAGAGUAGCCUGCCUUGCGUGGGGCGUGGCGGAUGAGGGAUCCAAGCGCCGGGGAUUGUGGCCACAGUCCCUUGCGCGAUUGCCUUCUGAAACCCGACCUGCAAAAGAGGCUAAGAACCGGCUUGCCUGUGAUGGAAAACAUCUAGGCUGUUUUCGCAGAUAAGGGAUUGCAGUGCGGACUAAGUGGCGAUUCGGUGCCGACUGUGGCGACGCGUCGGUGCAGCGUUCAAUGGGAAACCGCCUCCAUUGGCAACAAGGGGUACGCUGUAGGGAAAACAUACCGAACCUCAAGCCGCAAGGUUUACCUUAUCUGCCACCCCUAUUUAUCUUAU